Molecule: ribosomal RNA, 253 nt
Filed under: uncultured bacterium
Lineage: Bacteria
Description: partial 16S ribosomal RNA
Rfam family: Bacterial small subunit ribosomal RNA
Source: RNAcentral
UACGAAGGGGACUAGCGUUGUUCGGAAUUACUGGGCGUAAAGCGCACGUAGGCGGAUUUGUUAGUCAGGGGUGAAAUCCCGGGGCUCAACCUCGGAACUGCCUUUGAUACUGCAAGUCUCGAGUCCGAUAGAGGUGGGUGGAAUUCCUAGUGUAGAGGUGAAAUUCGUAGAUAUUAGGAAGAACACCGGUGGCGAAGGCGGCCCACUGGAUCGGUACUGACGCUGAGGUGCGAAAGCUAGGGGAGCAAACGGG